ACACGUCAACACAGACAAGUUUUCCAUGACUUGCUCUGCUGCUUGGAUGUUGAAGGCCUGCUGGCGUUCACUAUCGUCAGCUCCUUUUAAAUUCAUUAGCAGGAAAUUACGCAAAACUGGCUUCAGUUUGAUAAGAUUGAACUGUUGCCAAAGAAUUGCCAAUUAUUUUUCCAGCUUCUAACUGUCCGGUUAACUGGACUGUCUCAUCCUUGUGAGGCAAUAUCACCAAUGACA
RNAcentral lists this unclassified non-coding RNA (234 nucleotides) under uncultured Agaricomycetes. RNAcentral describes it as "sequence contains ITS2". Lineage: Eukaryota; Fungi; Basidiomycota; Agaricomycetes. The record is from RNAcentral.